UACGGAGGGAGCUAGCGUUGUUCGGAAUUACUGGGCGUAAAGCGCACGUAGGCGGCUUUGUAAGUUAGAGGUGAAAGCCUGGGGCUCAACCCCAGAAUUGCCUUUAAGACUGCAUCGCUUGAAUCCAGGAGAGGUGAGUGGAAUUCCGAGUGUAGAGGUGAAAUUCGUAGAUAUUCGGAAGAACACCAGUGGCGAAGGCGACUUACUGGACACAUAUUGACGCUGAGGUGCGAAAGCGUGGGGAGCAAACAGG
Molecule: ribosomal RNA, 253 nt
Filed under: uncultured bacterium
Lineage: Bacteria
Description: partial 16S ribosomal RNA
Rfam family: Bacterial small subunit ribosomal RNA
Source: RNAcentral